This 77-nucleotide transfer RNA is filed under the name Candidatus Zhuqueibacterota bacterium. Its description in RNAcentral is "candidate division KSB1 bacterium (microbial mat metagenome) tRNA-Met". It matches the Rfam family "tRNA". Rfam says of the family: Transfer RNA (tRNA) molecules are approximately 80 nucleotides in length. Lineage: Bacteria; Pseudomonadati. The record is from RNAcentral.
CGCGGGGUGGAGCAGUCUGGUAGCUCGUUGGGCUCAUAACCCAAAGGCCGCAGGUUCAAAUCCUGCCCCCGCUACCA